Anolis carolinensis (green anole) is the source of this 2583-nucleotide long non-coding RNA. RefSeq lists it as uncharacterized. The transcript is spliced from 2 exons. The record is from RefSeq and is a predicted model, not a curated record. Lineage: Eukaryota; Metazoa; Chordata; Lepidosauria; Squamata; Anolidae.
GCCCUGGCCGUAAAGAAUUUUAAAAGUCAGAACUAGCAUCUUAUAUAGACCACGGUAAUCAGUUGGAAGCCAAUGCAGAUGCUGCAGCACUAGUGUUAUAUGGCAUUUCAUGGGUGUUCUUGUGAGUAGCCUGGCUGCCGCAUUCUGAACAAUACGGAGCUUCCGGGUCGUGGACAUCGGAAGGCCAACAUACAGGGCGUUGCAAUAGUCCAGCCUAGACAUGACCGUGGCAUGGAUGACUGUUGCCAGAGCCUCAUCAGAUAGAUAGGGUGCCAGUUGCCUCACUUGUCGUAGAUGGAAAAAGGCUUGUUUGCUAGCAGCAGCGAUCUGAGCUUCCAUUGUCAGCUGCAAAUCAAAAAAGGACACCCAGGCUCUUAACGGUAGGCGAAGGAGAUAGGGCAGCACCAUCAAAGGUGGGUAGCAAAUGGGUCAGACCAGUAGAGUGGCCAUGCCAAAGAAUCUCAGUCUUCACCGGGUUCACCUUCAGUCUACUAACAUGUAGCCAGUUCGACAGAGCCUCCAGACAUAAGGUGAAAUUGUCUGGUAUUGACGUUGCUCCAGGCUCCAAGCGCAGAAGGAGUUGGGUGUCAUCCGCAUAUUGAUAGCAAUCUAGGCCGAAACUCCGAGCCAAACUAGCAAGGGGUCUAACGUAGAUGUUGAAGAGAAGAGGGGAGAGAAUUGCACCUUGCGGUACCCCACAUAGGAGGGAAGAUCUGUUAGAGACUUGAUCCAUAUAUUCCAUGUAUUGGCUCCGGUUUCAGAGAAAUAAGUUGAACCAAUUGAGGGCCUGACCGCAAACUCCGGACAUGGCGAGAUGGUGAAUCAUUAGAUCGUAAUCAACGGUGUCAAACGCUGCGGUAUUCUGUGUAUUUAUUUAACUGUGUAGGCUUAGGCUAGCAUAUUGCAGCCAGCUAUCGGAGUCAUAGCUCGGUGAUGGUGUAGGCAGCCCACUGCAGUAGUUCUCAGGUGAAACUAUAUUUGAAUGGUUGUCUCAGAGUGUUGAACAAAUAUUCCUUUCUGAUGUAAAGUGGUUGGGGGAGAUAAGCCUAUUGUGUGUUCUUUCUCACUUGGGGGUAAAUCAUGAAACAGAAGACCAAGGUCACUGUGAAUGGCAGCAUAUGCUUGACAACAAAUGCUGCAUUACAUCUUACCUUCAAAUAUAUAUAGCUAUUUCAGAUUUUAAGCACAGAUUAUAUUUUCAGCAUCUUAAAAUGAAGAGGUGUGUAUGAGUGCUGCUUAUAUAUAGAUAUAUCUGUGUAUGGAAGGAGAGUGAGAGGGAUAGAAAGAACCAAUUUUCUCCUGUUAGACAACAUAGAGUUUCAGCGAUAUUAUGGCUGCACUCUGAUAUGUCAUUUAUUUGGAGCAAAUAGAGGGCGAUAUGCCAGUUGCCAUGGCAACAAGUUUCCCGCUGGAGCUGCAAAAAAGCUUUCGGCAUAUUUUGAAAUGACUUCCUCCCCAUUAUUGCCUGAGCUGCAAGAAAGGUGAUGCCUGCUGCAAUUAUAUACAAACGAAUGUGUUUAAUUUUACAAAUAGAGUUGCCUUUUUUGAGUUGUUUGUGACAUCUGGGAAAACUGAAACAGACUGAAGCAACCACAUGGACAAGAUAGAAGAGCCUGGAUAGUUAGCAGCCUGGUCAUGUCCCAUUUUCUUGAGUGUGUACUUAGCUAGAAGGUGUAAUUGAUGAGCAAUUUAUUGCAGGGAAACUCUUCUUUUCCUCAUGCUUGUUUGAAUCCUAUUCACCUGGUACUGUUCACUGAGAUAAUCACAUGUUUACUUUGAAUGGAUGGAUGAACCAGAUGGGUAACACAGUUGCCUAGACAGCAUUUGUUACACUGAGUUACACUCAAUCUAAAUAUGUAUCCUACUGAAUGGAGGAAUGAAGGAAGAGUUAAAGAGAAUCUGCAAUAUAUUGGGAGAGGAGAGGAGUGGGAAUAUUAUUUAUGGUAUCCUCAAGGUCUUUAGGAUUGCUGCAACAAUAAUUGUUCUCGCCAUUUCUUCCCUUCAGAUCGAGGCUGAAACUCUUCGAGUCAUACAUUUUGGCAGCCUAUUCAUUACAUUCUGGUCAACAAGUGUACGUGAAAUCCUGCAUGCCAGCCUCUGCAAAGAAGAGUACAAUGAUUUGCAUAAUUGCUGAAGAUUCUACGGCUGUAUGAAGCACUCUCUCUUCUUGUCUUAUAAUUAUUCUCUUCUAAUUAGUCAUCUUGAUUAUAAAACAUAGGCUUGCUUGUUACUAGAGUUGCUUGCAAAAUCUGGAUUGAACUGGAUUUUCCUGUCAGAGCAUAGGAGGUUGCUGGAGUUUAAAUGAUUCAUCUAGUUGAAAUCUCCAGGCACAGAAUGGAAUUGAAGAAACCUAGAGGGAAAAGGAGGAGAAGAGAUUCCACCUGGAUAUUAUGAUGAACUUCCUGAUAGUAAGAACUGCUCAGCAGUGCCAUGGAAUGUUCUGGACCCUUCUUUUUUUGUAGGUCCUUAGACAAACACUUGAUGGCUAUCUGUUGGGAGUGCUGAAAGCCGAAAGCUUAAUACUUGUAAUCUCUUAAGAUAAGUUUCUUUAAACUUACAAUAAAAUAUAAAUAAUAAGGAAUA